This 433-nucleotide ribosomal RNA is filed under the name uncultured bacterium. Its description in RNAcentral is "partial 16S ribosomal RNA". It matches the Rfam family "Bacterial small subunit ribosomal RNA", at positions 29 to 507 of the family's 1533-position model. The record is from RNAcentral.
AACGAACGCUGGCGGCAUGCCUAACACAUGCGAGUCGAACGAGACCUUCGGGUCUAGUGGCGCACGGGUGCGUAACGCGUGGGAACCUGCCCUUAGGUUCGGAAUAACUCCCCGAAAGGGGUGCUAAUACCGGAUAAUGUCUUCGGACCAAAGAUUUAUCGCCUUUGGAUGGGCCCGCGUUGGAUUAGCUAGUUGGUAGGGUAAAAGCCUACCAAGGCGACGAUCCAUAGCUGGUCUGAGAGGAUGAUCAGCCACACUGGGACUGAGACACGGCCCAGACUCCUACGGGAGGCAGCAGUGGGGAAUAUUGGACAAUGGGCGAAAGCCUGAGCCAGCAAUGCCGCGUGAGUGAUGAAGGCCUUAGGGUUGUAAAGCUCUUUUACCCGGGAUGAUAAUGACAGUACCGGGAGAAUAAGCGCCGGCUAACUCCGUG